This 262-nucleotide ribosomal RNA is filed under the name uncultured Lachnospiraceae bacterium. Its description in RNAcentral is "partial 16S ribosomal RNA". It matches the Rfam family "Bacterial small subunit ribosomal RNA", at positions 1150 to 1407 of the family's 1533-position model. The record is from RNAcentral. Lineage: Bacteria; Bacillati; Bacillota; Clostridia; Lachnospirales; Lachnospiraceae.
CGGCCGCGUCGACCCGGGAGGAAGGCGGGGAUGACGUCAAAUCAUCAUGCCCCUUAUGAUUUGGGCAACACACGUGCUACAAUGGCGUUAACAAAGAGAAGCGAGAACGCGAGUUUAAGCAAAGCUCAAAAAAUAACGUCUCAGUUCGGACUGCAGUCUGCAACUCGACUGCACGAAGCUGGAAUUGCCUAGUAAUCGCGAAUCAGCAUGUCGCGGUGAAUACGUUCCCGGGUCUUGGUACACACCGCCGUCGACGCGGCCG